RNAcentral lists this unclassified non-coding RNA (181 nucleotides) under Glomus sp. RNAcentral's name for it is "partial contains 5.8S ribosomal RNA and internal transcribed spacer 2". The stretch from base 1 to 65 matches the Rfam family "5.8S ribosomal RNA", at positions 84 to 154 of the family's 154-position model. The record is from RNAcentral. Lineage: Eukaryota; Fungi; Glomeromycota; Glomeromycetes; Glomerales; Glomeraceae.
GUGAAUCAUCAAAUUUUUGAACGCAAAUUGCACUCUCCUCGGAGAGUAUGCCUGUUUGAGGGUCAGCCUAAAAAAAAUCGACGUAGUCGCUUUUUCUCGGUGACAUUCGUCGGAAAUUGGGUCAUCUUAAACCUUUGGGUUUUUUAAGCUUCUUAAAAUUUGCUUUACUUUUCAAGUAACU